AGCGAACGCUGGCGGCAGGCUUAACACAUGCAAGUCGAGCGGGCAUCCUUGUGGUGUCAGCGGCAGACGGGUGAGUAACGCGUGGGAACGUGCCCUUCGGUUCGGAAUAACUCAGAGAAACUUGAGCUAAUACCGGAUACGUGCGAGAGCAGAAAGGUUUAUCUGCCGAAGGAUCGGCCCGCGUCUGAUUAGCUAGUUGGUGAGGUUAUGGCUCACCAAGGCGACGAUCAGUAGCUGGUCUGAGAGGAUGAUCAGCCACACUGGGACUGAGACACGGCCCAGACUCCUACGGGAGGCAGCAGUGGGGAAUAUUGGACAAUGGGGGCAACCCUGAUCCAGCCAUGCCGCGUGAGUGAUGACGGCCUUAGGGUUGUAAAGCUCUUUUCUUCGGGACGAUAAUGACGGUACCGGAGGAAUAAGCCCCGGCUAACUUCGUG
Molecule: ribosomal RNA, 437 nt
Filed under: uncultured bacterium
Lineage: Bacteria
Description: partial 16S ribosomal RNA
Rfam family: Bacterial small subunit ribosomal RNA
Source: RNAcentral